This 497-nucleotide ribosomal RNA is filed under the name uncultured bacterium. RNAcentral describes it as "partial 16S ribosomal RNA". It matches the Rfam family "Bacterial small subunit ribosomal RNA", at positions 28 to 507 of the family's 1533-position model. The record is from RNAcentral.
GAUGAACGCUGGCGGCGUGCCUGAUACAUGCAAGUCGAGCGAACAGACGAGGAGCUUGCUCCUCUGACGUUAGCGGCGGACGGGUGAGUAACACGUGGAUAACCUACCUAUAAGACUGGGAUAACUUCGGGAAACCGGAGCUAAUACCGGAUAAUAUAUUGAACCGCAUGGUUCAAUAGUGAAAGACGGUUUUGCUGUCACUUAUAGAUGGAUCCGCGCCGCAUUAGCUAGUUGGUAAGGUAACGGCUUACCAAGGCAACGAUGCGUAGCCGACCUGAGAGGGUGAUCGGCCACACUGGAACUGAGACACGGUCCAGACUCCUACGGGAGGCAGCAGUAGGGAAUCUUCCGCAAUGGGCGAAAGCCUGACGGAGCAACGCCGCGUGAGUGAUGAAGGUCUUCGGAUCGUAAAACUCUGUUAUUAGGGAAGAACAAAUGUGUAAGUAACUAUGCACGUCUUGACGGUACCUAAUCAGAAAGCCACGGCUAACUACGUG